Molecule: ribosomal RNA, 559 nt
Filed under: uncultured bacterium
Lineage: Bacteria
Description: bacterial SSU rRNA
Rfam family: Bacterial small subunit ribosomal RNA
Source: RNAcentral
GCACAAGUAGCGGAGCAUGUGGUUUAAUUCGAAGCAACGCGAAGAACCUUACCAGGUCUUGACAUCCUCUGACGACGCUAGAGAUAGUGUUUUCCUUUCGGGGACAGAGAGACAGGUGGUGCAUGGUUGUCGUCAGCUCGUGUCGUGAGAUGUUGGGUUAAGUCCCGCAACGAGCGCAACCCUUGUGUUUAGUUGCCAGCGGUAAGGCCGGGCACUCUAAACAGACUGCCGUAGAUAAUACGGAGGAAGGUGGGGAUGACGUCAAAUCAUCAUGCCCCUUAUGACCUGGGCUACACACGUGCUACAAUGGGAUGUACAGAGGGUAGCGAAAUAGUGAUAUGGAGCCAAUCUCAAAAAACAUCUCUCAGUUCGGAUUGCAGGCUGCAACUCGCCUGCAUGAAGUCGGAGUUACUAGUAAUCGCAAAUCAGAAUGUUGCGGUGAAUGCGUUCCCGGGGUUUGUACACACCGCCCGUCACACCACGAAAGUCGGCAACACCCGAAGUCAGUGAGCUAACCAAACGGAAGCAGCUGCCUAAGGUGGGGUUGAUGAUUGGGGUG